AUAUACACAUCAAGAACCGAGAUUCUAAAAUGGAGACAACAUGAAAGGUUAUCUACAAAUUGUAGUUUUUGAGAUACUUAUUGUGUAUUGUUUGUGACUCUUGUUGUAAAUCAAUCUUCUGCAUUUUAGUACAUAAGUCCUACAAUAUAUAGCCAGGUAGGUGUUACAUAAGCAAAUGCCAGCAAGUGUAGACAUAGGUGUUACAACAGAUAAUUGUAUCUACUCAUCAACAUAAUAUGAGAUAACAAAUGGUAGAAACGAUGCUUAGGAAGCAUCAAUAGUAGGAGGUCCUUGUCUUUGUAAAUCAAAGAACAUCUACAAUAAUGUAUAACUGACCAUUAAUGAGAUCUCUGUACUUGCUCUGUCAAAGUGCAAUAAGGGAUAUGUUCUGGGGCAAAGCUAAUGCAAAUAGUAGCGGCCAAUACUUGGAAGGAAGGGAUGAUAGUGCCCUCAUACUUAGUCAUGUAAAUGAUAAUAUGUAAGCUAUUAAAAAAUAUUGGAAUGAGCUAAUGAAUCUGGGACUAUGCAAGCUAUACAAAAUUCAAAUGGCAUACUGAGAUUGGACACAAAACAGUACAAUUGUGCCUGUAGAGGAUAAGUAGAGAAGAUGGCAUUUCACAACUGAGAGAUCCAAUUUAUAUUGCAAUUAAAAGAAGAAAGAAGAAGGUGCCUGCAAGAUACGAUGAUCUAAGUGAGAGCAACAUAUCAAUCACUUGCUACUUGAGCAGGAAGCAUUAAUAAAAUCAGCAAGGGCGCCUUCAAAAUUUUUUAAAGUCAAGUGGAAAUAGGUUAUAGGACCACCUUCACUAUCAAAUCCUUAAUAGAGAAAACUAAUUUGCACUCCUAGUUCCAAUCCACAAAGCUUGUGUGGAGACAUUUGGUAAGAACCUCCCUACAAAGCAACAUGAGUACUAUAUUAGAUAGCACAAUUUGAUAGCAAUCCAAAAGAACAACCAAUUGCCAUGCAUCAUUGGGAUAACAAAUAAUACAAACAAUCAUUCAUUUAUGUGCCUGGCCACAAAACAAUCAGCAAACCAUGUAGGAUAACCUCACAGUUAGUACGAUAGUAGAGAAGGAUUAUGAAUGGAGCCAUGGAGGAACCAGAAACAACCUGACAUGAAUCGGAUGGCGUGAGCGUGGGAGGCACAUAAGGAACUCCAAAUUUCGCCCAAUACUUAAUAACUUGUAGGAACUCCAAAUUUCGCCAAUACUAUAACUUGUAUGAGAGGAAACAUACAUGCAGGAAGCGAAAUUAACAGCCCCUCGAGGUAAAUUUUAGAUAUUUAAUUAGGGAUUAAGGUAAACGAUUAGUUACCGGCUCGUAGGCGAGGUCAACGGCGCCAUCGAAGGAAAGGUCUUCCCGGACGACACCAAGAUACGUGUCGGUGGAUGAUGAAUUACUGCCCAACUCCAUGGGGCGGAUGGAGUACAACUGGGCCCCAAGACAGCCAGAUUCUGGCCUGAGCGGUGGAUCGGCGACGACUGCACGUUCUGCAACACGGCGUCGUUCAAGUUAACGGCGUUCCAGACGGGGCCGCGGCUGUUCCCAGGCAAGGGCUCAACGUACCUGCAGAUGAAGAUGGUGCUGCCAUCCUGUGCAGGUUCUUCAGGUUUGGGCUUGUGGAGGGCCACUUCGUCAAGUAACCAUGUUGACCAUCCUCUCCAUGGCGCAGGGCCUCAAGGUCCGCAUCUCCAGGUUGUGUUUGUUUGGUGGAAGGAUGGAGAUAAUCUGCCGUAGAAGAUAAAGAGAUCCAUGAAAAAUCAAUUGGCAGGAGAGUUUAUUGGGGAGAUGAUGACCUACCGUGGAAGAUAAAGAGAGCCACGGCAAAUCAAUUAGUGGGAGAGUAAAUUAGGGAGAGAUAGGGACACCGAAAC
Molecule: long non-coding RNA, 1875 nt
Filed under: Triticum aestivum (bread wheat)
Lineage: Eukaryota; Viridiplantae; Streptophyta; Magnoliopsida; Poales; Poaceae
Description: long non-coding RNA (TAES_LNC025561)
Source: RNAcentral